GGAGGUAUAGCUUAGCGGUAGAGUAUGUGCUUAGCAUGCAUGAGGUCCUGGGUUCAAUUUCCAGUACCUCCG
This 72-nucleotide transfer RNA is filed under the name Camelus bactrianus (Bactrian camel). It matches the Rfam family "tRNA". From Rfam's summary of the family: Transfer RNA (tRNA) molecules are approximately 80 nucleotides in length. The record is from Rfam by way of RNAcentral. Lineage: Eukaryota; Metazoa; Chordata; Mammalia; Artiodactyla; Camelidae. RNAcentral also lists the same sequence under 2 other names.